This 1343-nucleotide ribosomal RNA is filed under the name uncultured bacterium. RNAcentral describes it as "16S ribosomal RNA". It matches the Rfam family "Bacterial small subunit ribosomal RNA", at positions 28 to 1378 of the family's 1533-position model. The record is from RNAcentral.
GACGAACGCUGGCGGCGUGCUUAACACAUGCAAGUCGAACGGAAAGGCCCUGCUUUUGUGGGGUGCUCGAGUGGCGAACGGGUGAGUAACACGUGAGUAACCUGCCCUUGACUUUGGGAUAACUUCAGGAAACUGGGGCUAAUACCGGAUAGGAGCUCCUGCUGCAUGGUGGGGGUUGGAAAGUUUCGGCGGUUGGGGAUGGACUCGCGGCUUAUCAGCUUGUUGGUGGGGUAGUGGCUUACCAAGGCUUUGACGGGUAGCCGGCCUGAGAGGGUGACCGGCCACAUUGGGACUGAGAUACGGCCCAGACUCCUACGGGAGGCAGCAGUGGGGAAUAUUGCACAAUGGGCGGAAGCCUGAUGCAGCAACGCCGCGUGCGGGAUGACGGCCUUCGGGUUGUAAACCGCUUUCGCCUGUGACGAAGCGUGAGUGACGGUAAUGGGUAAAGAAGCACCGGCUAACUACGUGCCAGCAGCCGCGGUGAUACGUAGGGUGCGAGCGUUGUCCGGAUUUAUUGGGCGUAAAGGGCUCGUAGGUGGUUGAUCGCGUCGGAAGUGUAAUCUUGGGGCUUAACCCUGAGCGUGCUUUCGAUACGGGUUGACUUGAGGAAGGUAGGGGAGAAUGGAAUUCCUGGUGGAGCGGUGGAAUGCGCAGAUAUCAGGAGGAACACCAGUGGCGAAGGCGGUUCUCUGGGCCUUUCCUGACGCUGAGGAGCGAAAGCGUGGGGAGCGAACAGGCUUAGAUACCCUGGUAGUCCACGCUGUAAACGGUGGGUACUAGGUGUGGGGUCCAUUCCACGGGUUCCGUGCCGUAGCUAACGCUUUAAGUACCCCGCCUGGGGAGUACGGCCGCAAGGCUAAAACUCAAAGGAAUUGACGGGGCCCCGCACAAGCGGCGGAGCAUGCGGAUUAAUUCGAUGCAACGCGUAGAACCUUACCUGGGUUUGACUUGGAUCGGGAGUGCUCAGAGAUGGGUGUGCCUCUUUUGGGGUCGGUUCACAGGUGGUGCAUGGCUGUCGUCAGCCCGUGUCGUGAGAUGUUGGGUUAAGUCCCGCAACGAGCGCAACCCUUGUUCACUGUUGCCAGCACGUUAUGGUGGGGACUCAGUGGAGACCGCCGGGGUCAACUCGGAGGAAGGUGGGGAUGACGUCAAGUCAUCAUGCCCCUUAUGUCCAGGGCUUCACGCAUGCUACAAUGGCUGGUACAGAGAGUGGCGAGCCUGUGAGGGUGAGCGAAUCUCGGAAAGCCGGUCUCAGUUCGGAUUGGGGUCUGCAACUCGACCUCAUGAAGUCGGAGUCGCUAGUAAUCGCAGAUCAGCAACGCUGCGGUGAAUACGUUCCCGGG